This 274-nucleotide ribosomal RNA is filed under the name uncultured bacterium. Its description in RNAcentral is "partial 16S ribosomal RNA". It matches the Rfam family "Bacterial small subunit ribosomal RNA", at positions 523 to 796 of the family's 1533-position model. The record is from RNAcentral.
AUACAGAGGAUGCAAGCGUUAAUCGGAAUUACUGGGCGUAAAGCGCACGUAGGUGGUUCAUUAAGUCAGAUGUGAAAGCCCCGGGCUCAACCUGGGAACUGCAUUUGAAACUGGUGAGCUAGAGUAUGGUAGAGGUAAGUGGAAUUCCAGGUGUAGCGGUGAAAUGCGUAGAUAUCUGGAGGAACGUCAGUGGCGAAGGCGACUUACUGGACCAAUACUGACACUGAGGUGCGAAAGCGUGGGGAGCAAACAGGAGUAGAUACCCUAGUAGUCC